GCAAACUUCAAUCUCAUCAAAACAGUUGAAAGCCUACGUCUGCGAGCAACAAGACACACUCAUUAACAAAACAAUUAUGCAAGUAGUUCAGCGUAGCAACAAGACAAUUACAGAAUAGGUACAUUUUCUGUACACAUCGUCUGAAUGAGGAAAGAAGGGGGGGAGGGCUGUGAACAAAUGGGUCUCAUUGAACAGCAAAUGAAUUCACUUCAGGAAGCCUUAUCCUACCUGCAAAAGGAUGACACCGACAAGCGAUCACACAACGCCAGGCUUUUCCUGCUCGGUAUAACACCCAUGUUGUAGCUGUCAUUCACAAAGAAACAACCAGAAUAUCAGCAGAGCAAUAACUAUGAAAGAAAAAGGGAACUGCUUCGAACAUCACUUGCAAGACCAACCUAAGAAGACAAUCUUUGUAGAUUUUGACUUUUUAUUGUCUCAUGUUCAAACCUUAAAACCAAGAAGCAAAACAUGAACUUGAACACGAUACAUAUUGCCGUUAGAAGAGCGAAGCUUAAAAAUCAAGGACUCGAAAAGGGUGACAUCAAUUUGCUACUAGUUUAAUCAAGAGCAGCCCAAUUACUUUGUUUCCACCAAGAUUAAGAUGCUUAUCGAACAA
Molecule: long non-coding RNA, 616 nt
Organism: Populus nigra (black poplar)
Lineage: Eukaryota; Viridiplantae; Streptophyta; Magnoliopsida; Malpighiales; Salicaceae
Exons: 2
Source: RefSeq, a predicted model, not a curated record